AGGGACGUUGGAACCAAGUCCGUUCCCUUCCUGAAGCCAAGAAUUUGAUGAAUCAUUUGUUCAAUCUGGCAUCUUCCUCCAGGUAGAGUAGCUUUAUCUGCAAACAAAAUUUAUGGUCCAUGUUGUGAUGAAUGACUGAAUCUUUGUCUAUGCCUUUCUAUAUUUCAGGUGUUCAUUGCGAGAUAAAGAAGUUACCUGCAGAGAGAAGGACAUGGAAAUAAGAGAUCUAAAGGAAAAAGUAGUAAGGUUGAGCUGUUCACUUCGACAGUUGGAAAUGCAGAAGUCUGAACUUAUUCAUCAGUUGAAAUUGCUGGUUAGUAUCGAGAGCUCCACUUAAUCCAGAUUAAUCUUGAGAAAUAAAUUUUGUGUAUAACUUAAAAUUUACUGAUAUAAUGAAACUUAAAAAUUUUCUCCUUUCCAAAUUUAAGUUGCAGUUUAUAAAAUUGAAGAAAUAUUGGUCCUUGUUUUUGCAACUUUGAUUAUCCAAUUAAUUGGUAACUUCUUUUCUUU
This 510-nucleotide long non-coding RNA is filed under the name Glycine max (soybean). Its description in RNAcentral is "long non-coding RNA (GMAX_LNC000438)". The record is from RNAcentral. Lineage: Eukaryota; Viridiplantae; Streptophyta; Magnoliopsida; Fabales; Fabaceae.